This 498-nucleotide ribosomal RNA is filed under the name uncultured bacterium. Its description in RNAcentral is "partial 16S ribosomal RNA". It matches the Rfam family "Bacterial small subunit ribosomal RNA", at positions 30 to 523 of the family's 1533-position model. The record is from RNAcentral.
AUUGAACGCUGGCGGCAUGCCUUACACAUGCAAGUCGAACGGUAACAGGUCUUCGGAUGCUGACGAGUGGCGAACGGGUGAGUAAUACAUCGGAACGUGCCUAGUAGUGGGGGAUAACUACUCGAAAGAGUGGCUAAUACCGCAUGAGAUCUACGGAUGAAAGCAGGGGAUCGCAAGACCUUGUGCUACUAGAGCGGCCGAGGGCAGAUUAGGUAGUUGGUGGGAUAAAAGCUUACCAAGCCGACGAUCUGUAGCUGGUCUGAGAGGACGAUCAGCCACACUGGGACUGAGACACGGCCCAGACUCCUACGGGAGGCAGCAGUGGGGAAUUUUGGACAAUGGGCGCAAGCCUGAUCCAGCAAUGCCGCGUGCAGGAUGAAGGCCUUCGGGUUGUAAACUGCUUUUGUACGGAACGAAAAGCCCCGGGUUAAUACCCUGGGGUCAUGACGGUACCGUAAGAAGAAGCCCCGGCUAACUUCGUGCCAGCAGCCGCCGCCG